This is a long non-coding RNA of Cygnus olor (mute swan), 1693 nucleotides long. RefSeq lists it as uncharacterized. NCBI's taxonomy places the organism in Eukaryota, Metazoa, Chordata, Aves, Anseriformes, Anatidae. The transcript is spliced from 3 exons. The record is from RefSeq and is a predicted model, not a curated record.
GCAAAAUAUAGGAAAAUCAAGCUCCUUUCUUCCUAUGCUUUUGGUUAACUCCAAGGUAUUUUUCUUUCUGUUACAUCUUGUUACCAGCUGUUAGGAUGCUUGCAUGAGAUCUCAGCUGGGAUCCAGUCCUCGUGUCCUCUUUCUCCCGGGCCUUUUUUUGCUGAGUAGAGCCCUGCUUUGAAGAUGCAAGUUUUUCAGUGUGCCCAAACCUGCCUAGGAUGCCACCGUGCUCUUACUUUCUUUUCCCUUCUGCAGAAGAGGAGGAGAGGAGCAGAUCAUUCAUAACACGAUGUCUAACUUGUAGGAAUGCUGACCUGAAUGUAGUAAUGAGUUGUCAUCUCGGAUGCAGGCAGAGAGAAGACUGUGGUACCAGCUCUCGGUGUUUUGGCAGUGCCUAGAGCAGUGCUUGUCCAUUCUCAGGUUUCUAAAACUUCUUCUAACAUACUGUUUCAUUAAAUAGCUGUGCAGGAGGUGUGGAAUUUGCUGGAAAAAUGCCAUACAUGCGGAUUCCCAACACAGAGGGUCACAAUGCGAGGGCCAUUUUUGGCACCAUUUGAAAGAUGAGCUUCAGUGACUUUUAAUGAAAAAUUGACUUCUUCAUCCAGAAUGUAUUUUUCCCAAAACCUGUGCACAGAAGAAACUUUCUGUGAGGAGAAAAAAUGUUGUUUAGUGGGAUAUGCACCACCGUCUCACCCAGCUGCAGCAUAAGUUGUAGAGGCCCUUCACUUUAGUCUUGUAAGAAACAUGGAAUAGCAAAGGGAUACCUAUGAACUGACCGAUUUGUUAAGCAUGGUAAAAUACAUUUAUUUAUUUAUUUGACCAAUAGCACUUCAUUUUGUUACACCUGAAGUACAAGUUAAUCACAGCAAGUGUUUUCCUGACAUUAUGAUUUGAUCAUGCCCUUGCAUUUCUUUCAGAUCAGAGAAUAAAGACAUGAGCAGUCACUUAUGUAAACAGGAGGUUUCAGUUGUCAGGUGCUCUGUACUUCAACAUCUGGGAUGCAAAUAUCACAAAAUUGUUUGUUUUAGUAUAAGUUGUUGGAAUCAGGAUGAAUUUUUUAAUAUGCAUUUCUUGAAUCCAUGUUGUAAAGAACUCAUUUUUGAAUGAAACUUUAAUACCCUUUAUAAAAUGAAGUUGGCAAACCAUGUGUUGGCAAACUGUGUGUAUUUAUAUUACCUAUAUAUUCUCACAUGAUUUUUUUUAAUGUACAUAGAAAGUAACUUCUCUUGAAAAUAUGAAAUCUCUUGGUCAAAACCAGCUGAAAGACGAUAAUGUCAUUGCUAUUUUAAAAGCAACCAUUUUAUAUCCAAUCUUAGGUUUUACGGGCCUUACUUCUAAUUUUUAAGGGCUACAGAUCCUCAAAACUGAGAAAACACCUGAUGAGUUAAAUACACUAAGGCAGUAUUUAUGAACAACCUUCCAUUUACUGUCACUGCCUCUGGUUUAGGGGUAAUAUUUUGUUCUUCUGCCCUUUAUAUUCUUCUCACUCCCAGGAAGAAAACUUUUGAAGACUAAUGGCCUUUCUGUUUUCAGGCUGAAUUGUACCCUUUAAUGGCUAAUGUUGUUAACCAUGCAGGUACCUUCUUAGCCAUUAUUGUUCCAGUUUUUGUCAAGUACAGCCAUUUUUUAGGAUUGGAUGGCUCUGUAGAAUCGUAUAAAAGCUUUUGGUAGUUGCACAGUUUAUACUUUUGCC